GGAAGAUUAGCUCAGCUGGUUAGAGCGCUGCGUUCACAUCGCAGAGGUCUUGGGUUCGAGUCCCUAAUCUUCCACCA
Molecule: transfer RNA, 77 nt
Filed under: Subdoligranulum variabile
Lineage: Bacteria; Bacillati; Bacillota; Clostridia; Eubacteriales; Oscillospiraceae
Also listed under: 4 other names
Description: tRNA-Val
Rfam family: tRNA
About the family: Transfer RNA (tRNA) molecules are approximately 80 nucleotides in length. Their secondary structure includes four short double-helical elements and three loops (D, anti-codon, and T loops).
Source: RNAcentral